CUCGAAAUGGAGUGGACCGGAGUAGAAAUAUUCCUUCCCCGCAAGGGGCCGCUUUAUAGGUGCUGCAUGGCUGUCGUCAGCUCGUGUCGUGAGAUGAAAAAAAAAAGUCCCGCAACGAGCGCAACCCUUAUCCCCAGUUGCCAUCAUUAAGUUGGGCACUCUGGUGAAACCGCCUCGGAUAACGGGGAGGAAGGUGGGGAUGACGUCAAGUCCUCAUGGCCUUUAUGUCCAGGGCUACACACGUGCUACAAUGGCCGGUACAAACCGUCGCAAACCCGCGAGGGGGAGCUAAUCGGAAAAAGCCGGCCUCAGUUCGGAUCGCAGUCUGCAUGGGGGACUGCGUGAAGCUGGAAUCGCUAGUAAUCGCGGAUCAGAAUGCCGCGGUGAAUACGUUCCC
RNAcentral lists this ribosomal RNA (397 nucleotides) under uncultured Acidobacteriota bacterium. RNAcentral's name for it is "uncultured Acidobacteria bacterium partial 16S ribosomal RNA". It matches the Rfam family "Bacterial small subunit ribosomal RNA", at positions 980 to 1375 of the family's 1533-position model. The record is from RNAcentral. Lineage: Bacteria; Pseudomonadati; Acidobacteriota.